This 74-nucleotide transfer RNA is filed under the name Ensifer meliloti. RNAcentral describes it as "Sinorhizobium meliloti tRNA-Met". The record is from RNAcentral. Lineage: Bacteria; Pseudomonadati; Pseudomonadota; Alphaproteobacteria; Hyphomicrobiales; Rhizobiaceae.
CGCAGGCAGGGCAACUGGCAAGCAGCGUGGUUCAUAACCACGAAAGACCGGUUCGAUUCCCGGGCUUGUAACCA